GAAGAAAAUAGCCAGUGUUUUGAACUACCAAAGAAUGAAAAAAUAGAAAUUAAGGUAGAGGAUGUGAGGGUAGUUUAUGGCUUGCCUACAGGAGAAAUUCCAAUUGUUGAGCCAAAGUCUGAUAAAAAUAGUGAGGAGUAUGCAGAUUUUCUGAAGAAAUGGAGAAAAUCAUGGUCAGGAAAAACUCCAUCAGUGAGUCAGAUUGUGAAUGGAUACAUAAAUGAUAAAUUCACCAACAACAGACCACAAAGUGAACAUUUCAUUACUAACUUUUUAGCAGUGGCUGUGAACUGCUUGAUGAAAUGUGUAUCAAACAAUCAAUGUCAUUUCAAAUUUCUUUAUUCUAUGAUGGACAAAGAAAAAAUAAAAAAUUUGAACUGGUGUCAGUUUGUAUAUGACUCACUUAUCAAAUGUCAUGUUGAUUGGAGAAAGCAGCAAGGCAAGGGGUUCUACAAAGGCCCUCUUCAAUUUCUGAUGUUGUUCUAUUUUGAUAGAGUUCAGAGGUUAGACAAAAGGCCUCUAAGAACAUUUCCUAUCAUAUCUGCAUGGAAUAGAGACAUGGUUCUUGAGAGGUUGAAGAUUGAAUUAGAAUUGGGAUUUGGGAGAGGGAAAAUUCUACCAAGGAUUGCUGCAGAAGUUGAAGAAAGUCCUGAGGUUUUCAUGGAUGAUUUUGUUUCCCUGGUAAACACAACUUGUUCAAACCUGUCAAAGCUUUCUUCAAAAUUGGUGAAGGCAAAGGACAUCUUCCCUGGAAACGACUUGGUGAAAAAAGUUGAUUAAGUUUUAGGAAAGGUGGCAGCUAGGGAACCAUCAAUUCUAAGCCAAGAUGAAGAAUUCUUUGGCAGUGAGGAUUUCCUAAAUGCACUUGCACAAGCUGAGAAGAAUCUGAUGCAAGGGUCUGAAAAGCAAACAACUGAGAAGCAAAUGACUGGGAAGAAAUUAACCAAAAAGGGAAAGGAAAAAGAACAAGAAUAUGACAUCAGAAAAGCUUUCAGCUUGGGGUUGACUCCACCUUCUCCAUCCAUUGAAACAGGGCCCACCUCUUCAACACUUGGUAAUAUAAUUGAACAACCAAUAAUUUCAACAAAUGUUGGAGAAAAGGAUGUGGGUAAAACUUCAGCAGCUUCAGAACAAAGAAUUGGAGAAUUUUCUAGAACUGCAACUGGUUCAAAAUUUGAUACUGACACUAGGUCAGAUAAUGAAUGAUUGCCUAGAACAGAUGCAGGAUCUGGUUCAGUGGUUGAUGUUGACCCUAGGUCAGAUAGUAGUGAAAAAAGUGAUGAUAAAAAAAACACAAUUGGAGGUGGAGAACAAAACAAGGAAGAUGUUUUUGAAAAAACAAAAAAUGAUGAAAAAGUGGAGGGGUAAAAUCUUGAAGACAUGUCUUACUAUUAGGGUUAUGUAAUUAGUAAGGAUAAAUUAUCUAGAUGGAACAAUUUAACUUAUGUUACUAUCGUGUUGUAACUUGAAACUGGAGUUUCUUAAACUAUUGUAUGUGUGUACAAUAUUUUGUUGAAUAUGUAAUAUGAAUGUGUGGUUUAUGUUAAAUAAAUAUCUUUCAUUUUAUGAAUUGAAAAUGCACACAGAGUGUUACAUAAGAAGCUUAUAUUUUAUUAAUAUG
This is an RNA transcript of Chenopodium quinoa (quinoa), 1621 nucleotides long. RefSeq lists it as uncharacterized. Lineage: Eukaryota; Viridiplantae; Streptophyta; Magnoliopsida; Caryophyllales; Amaranthaceae. The transcript is spliced from 8 exons. The record is from RefSeq and is a predicted model, not a curated record.